AGUGAACGCUGGCGGUAGGCCUAACACAUGCAAGUCGAACGGCAGCACAGUAAGAGCUUGCUCUUACGGGUGGCGAGUGGCGGACGGGUGAGGAAUACAUCGGAAUCUACUUUUUCGUGGGGGAUAACGUAGGGAAACUUACGCUAAUACCGCAUACGACCUACGGGUGAAAGCAGGGGAUCUUCGGACCUUGCGCGAUUGAAUGAGCCAAUGUCGGAUUAGCUAGUUGGCGGGGUAAAGGCCCACCAAGGCGACGAUCCGUAGCUGGUCUGAGAGGAUGUCAGGCACAAUUGGACCUGAGCACCGUCCUGGCUCCCGACGGGAGGAAGCAGGGGGGAAAAUUGAAAAAGGGGCGAAAGCUUGUUCCAGCCAUCCCGCGUGGUGGAAGAAGGCCUUCGGGUUGUAAAGCCCUUUUGUUGGGAAAGAAAAGAAGAAGGUUAAUCCCCGGCUGUUCUGAGGGUACCAAAAGAAUAAGCACCGGUUAACUUCGU
This 491-nucleotide ribosomal RNA is filed under the name uncultured bacterium. RNAcentral describes it as "partial 16S ribosomal RNA". It matches the Rfam family "Bacterial small subunit ribosomal RNA", at positions 29 to 506 of the family's 1533-position model. The record is from RNAcentral.